Molecule: ribosomal RNA, 699 nt
Filed under: Pleosporales sp. CM25
Lineage: Eukaryota; Fungi; Ascomycota; Dothideomycetes; Pleosporales
Description: eukaryotic LSU rRNA
Rfam family: Eukaryotic large subunit ribosomal RNA
Source: RNAcentral
CGGCGAGUGAAGCGGCAACAGCUCAAAUUUGAAAUCUGGCGUCUUUGGCGUCCGAGUUGUAAUUUGCAGAGGGCGCUUUGGCAUUGGCAGCGGUCCAAGUUCCUUGGAACAGGACGUCACAGAGGGUGAGAAUCCCGUACGUGGUCGCUAGCCUUUACCGUGUAAAGCCCCUUCGACGAGUCGAGUUGUUUGGGAAUGCAGCUCUAAAUGGGAGGUAAAUUUCUUCUAAAGCUAAAUACUGGCCAGAGACCGAUAGCGCACAAGUAGAGUGAUCGAAAGAUGAAAAGCACUUUGGAAAGAGAGUUAAAAAGCACGUGAAAUUGUUGAAAGGGAAGCGCUUGCAGCCAGACUUGCCUGUAGUUGCUCAUCCGGGUUUUUACCCGGUGCACUCUUCUACGGGCAGGCCAGCAUCAGUUUGGGCGGUUGGAUAAAGGUCUCUGUCAUGUACCUCCUCUCGGGGAGAUCUUAUAGGGGAGACGACAUGCAACCAGCCUGGACUGAGGUCCGCGCAUCUGCUAGGAUGCUGGCGUAAUGGCUGUAAGCGGCCCGUCUUGAAACACGGACCAAGGAGUCUAACAUCUAUGCGAGUGUUUGGGUGUCAAGCCCGAACGCGUAAUGAAAGUGAACGGAGGUGGGAACCUUUCGGGGUGCACCAUCGACCGAUCCUGAUGUCUUCGGAUGGAUUUGAGUAAGAGCAUA